UCCUCCAAGGCUAAAUACUCCUGACUGACCGAUAGUGAACCAGUACCGUGAGGGAAAGGCGAAAAGAACCCCGGCGAGGGGAGUGAAAAAGAACCUGAAACCGUGUACGUACAAGCAGUGGGAGCACAGGUUUACCUGUGUGACUGCGUACCUUUUGUAUAAUGGGUCAGCGACUUAUAUUCUGUAGCAAGGUUAACCGUAUAGGGGAGCCGUAGGGAAACCGAGUCUUAACCGGGCGUUAAGUUGCAGGGUAUAGACCCGAAACCCGGUGAUCUAGCCAUGGGCAGGUUGAAGGUUGGGUAACACUAACUGGAGGACCGAACCGACUAAUGUUGAAAAAUUAGCGGAUGACCUGUGGCU
Molecule: ribosomal RNA, 360 nt
Filed under: Salmonella enterica
Lineage: Bacteria; Pseudomonadati; Pseudomonadota; Gammaproteobacteria; Enterobacterales; Enterobacteriaceae
Also listed under: 5 other names
Description: partial 23S ribosomal RNA
Rfam family: Bacterial large subunit ribosomal RNA
Source: RNAcentral